Long non-coding RNA from Patella vulgata (common limpet), 4491 nucleotides. RefSeq lists it as uncharacterized. The transcript has 2 exons. The record is from RefSeq and is a predicted model, not a curated record. NCBI's taxonomy places the organism in Eukaryota, Metazoa, Mollusca, Gastropoda, Patellidae.
AUUAGAUAAACUGUUGAUGUUGUUUUGUCGUGCCGUGAAUCGGUGACACAAAAGUAAAUAUUCAGCAUGGAAACUCGCGAUGUUAAAAGAUUUCACACGCAAAAUAAAGUAAUUGAGGUAAAAGAAAAAAGUAAUGUAGAUGAAUUUUGUCAUUUUGAAGAAGAAAAAACUGAAGAUAUUGAAACUUGCUAUCAGUAUAAUUUGUGUAAAGAAGAAUUUAAGUCAGAAUCUGAUUUAGAAAAACACAAUGAAGUACAUGUUAAUGUAGAUGAUAUAGAUGAAUAUUGUCAUGUUAAAGAAGAGAUGACUGAAGAUAUUGAUCCAAUUUAUCAGUGCAAUUUAUGUGAUGAAGAAUUUAAAUCUGACACUGAUUUAGAGAAACACUGUGAAGUACAUCAUAAAUUAGAGUUCAGUUCUUGUAAUAGUAGUGAGUUGAAAGCAUGUAGCGAUGUUUGUAGUAAAUCAAUCAUCACAAAUGAUGUUCUACAGCAACACAUUACAGUUCAUACUGGGGCAAAACCUUAUAAAUGUGAUGUUUGUGAUAAAUCAUUUUACCGUAAUAACACUCUACAAAAACAUAUUAGAAUUCAUACUGGUGAAAAACCUUUUAUAUGUAUUGUUUGUGGUAAAUCAUUUUACAAUAUUAGUGCUCUACACCAACACAUUAGAAGUCAUAGUGGAGAUAAACCUUAUGAAUGUGAUGUUUGUGGAAAAUCAUUUUCUAGACGUGCAGAUCAACAGCGUCACACAAGAAAACAUACGGGUGAAAAACCUUAUAAGUGUGAUGUUUGUAGUAAAUCAUUCACUGAAAAUGGUAAUCUACAGUCACACAUUAGAAGCCAUAGUGGUGAAAAACCUUAUCAGUGUGAUGUUUGUGAUAAAUUAUUCACACGGUCUGGAACCCUAAACAAGCACAUAAAAAUUCAUACUGAAGAAAAACCCUAAAAAUGUGAUGUUUGUAGUAAAUCAUUUUCUGAAUAUGGUAAUCUACAAAAGAACUCAUUCUGAGGAAAUACCAUAUAAAUGUGAUGUUUGUAGUAAAUCAUUCACUGAAAGACAUACUCUACAGAACCACAGGAGAAGGGGGGUUGGAUGGCCGAUUGGUUAGCAUGUGCGCGCUGCGCCGUAUCAUAGGGUCUGUCAUUGAGUCAACUGGCGGGGUUUCGAUUCCCCGUUUGUACGUGACAAGGAGUAGGGUCCCCUGUCCAACCUCGUGGAUUUUCUCCGGGUCCUCCGGUUUCCUCCCACUGCUAAAGAACCCUACGCCCAAGCAAAAUUAUUGAAAUAAAAUGUGUUAGUCCCGAAAUGACAUAGUUUGUGUCGAGUGGACGUUAAACCCCAUUUUCUCUCUCUCUCACCACAGGAGAUAACCCUUAUAAAUGUGAUGUUUGUAGUAAAUCAUUCAUCAGAAAUUGUAAUCUACAGAGACACUUUAGAAUUCAUACAGUAGGGUGACCCACCAUAAAUAAAUAUCUCCAAAUAUCUCGACAAUUACGCCACAAUAUUUAUAUACAUACCAGGCCUUAAAUCAGUUUCACACAAUUAUAGUCACUAAAUAAACGAUCAUGUUGUACUUAAUAAGCUAUGACCAUUUAAUGAUCUAUAAAUAAUAGACUGAAACUGGUUCCAAGUUUCGUCCAUAACAUCCAGACACUUUUGAGUAAAAGAUAGGUUGCAGUGUACCGACCAUUCUACGUCUGAUUGACAGGUCGGGAUAAUCAAGACGCCCUUUUUACGAAACAUAACAGAAAGCUGGAACAAGAAAUUGAAUUUAGAAAAAUUCACGUUAGCUAGCUCAACAAUUGUUUUAAGAAGCUUGUAAAAGUAAAAUGAAACUACUGCUAGUAUCAUGUUCCUGCUAACAAAAGUGAUUCAGAGAUAUUAUUUGUACUAAACCAAAAGAUGCCGCUCUCAACGGUACAGUUAAUGAUGUAGCAAAUUAAAAAAUAAAACGAACGGAAUUUCCAAAUCUGCUGUAAUAACCAAGAAGCUUAAUUUUACUGCUAUUCAAAAUCGUCAACAAUAAAAUUUUUACGGCUGUAAUAGUUGAUAGAUUUGUAGAGAAUUGCACGUGCCAUGGCUAUUUAUAGUAUCAUACUGUCAGAAAGUUGGUCUCGACACGGCUAAUGUGCACACUUCAGUGGUAGUCUCGAACUAUCAGCGGUGGACUGUAUUUCUGUAGAGUGCAUGGGUCACCCUACAUACAGGAGAAAAACCAUAUCUAAGAAUUUUAACCUACAAUUUAAUGCGAUAACUCAUGGAGAAAAAACCUUUCAAAUGUGUCAGUUAUAGUAAAUCAUUUGCUCAUCGAAACCACACCACAUGACUCGAUGUCAGUGGUGAAGGACGGAGAGUCUUGCAAGGAAUUGUAUCUAGUAGUUGAAAUGAAAUGAAAUGAAAUGGGGUUUAACGUCCUACUCUUCUGCACCUAACCUGGGCUAAUUGAAGACGGGCAUACGCCAUACAGUGUGCUAUGAGGGAAAUUUUGCCCGGGCAGCGCCGCUACGGCCUACUCUUAUAUCGAAUUCCAACUGCCAAGGGAUCUUUUACGUGCACGCCAAUGUGUACAUGAUACCUCGGUUUUUCGUCCCAUCCGAACGACUAGGCAGUGGUGAAGGACGGAGAGUCUUGCAAGGAAUUGUAUCUAGUAGGUCAUGAAAAACAUUGGCAUACACAUACAAGAGAGAGAGAAACAUAUGGUUUAAUUUUAUACCAAUAAUUCUCUUGCGCUUAGGGGUCUUUAGCAGUGGGAGGAAACCAGAGGACCUGGUGAAAACCCACAAGGGCGGACAGGCGUCCCUAUUUCUUGUCACAUACAACCGGGAAUUCAAAACCACACCGGUUGACUCAGUGACAGGCCUUAUGAUACAGUGCAUACUUGCUAACCAUUCGGCCAUCCAUCCACUCUCCCCACCCCCACACGUACAAGAACCCUAGACUGUGACCUCAAUCUGAAUAAGAUACAGAUCUAUAUUUCGUUUCGUUUUUUAUACUUUCAAUGGCCUACAUUAUAUGAAGACCUGACAAGUUAUAGUAGAAGGUCACGUCAGGGGUCAUACGAGUGGUUUUUGACCCUAUGACAUAAGACAUUAACCCCUUAACUGCGUAGUUUUCAAAACGUUAACUACCCCCUAUUGCGUAAUUAAUUUGACGAUAAACGUCAUUUUGGACCUUUUCGUUCCUGAAUACAAAAUUUGGUAGUCUGAAACCAAAUUAAAACUAACGGUAAAUAGAGUUGUCUUCCUUCAAUUAGAUUUCCUCGACCAGGCGUAAUAUAACGUCUUAAACAUGCUGCGAUCGUGUUCGAAGAAUAGGUUGGGGAAAAUACCUCCAGGACGUUAUAUUACGUCCUACACACGGUAAGUGGCAGUUGUCUGGGACAUUAUAUAACGCCCUACGCAGUUAACGGAUUAAUUAAUCAAUCAGUGUUGACGUUUCUAGUGGUCUACCCACAAGACCGUGCAUCACACGCUAAGAACUCACCGUAACAGACUGUUACAUACCUUAUUCCUCACAUCAACCAGAAUGCGGGUUAUAUAACAACUCUUCUAGACAAGGAAAACGCAAUUUUGAAUUAUUAAAAACGAAAUGUAAUAGGAUCUGUGUUUUAAUGAGAUUAACGCGGCCUGGAACGUUUCCGAGAAUUUAUCAUGACCAACUCUAAACGACCAAUAGUAAAUGAUAUUACGGACAGGUUGAUUUAAUUAAGAUCAUUUACAUAUUAAAGCUGCAAGUUCAUCCCGAUUUUCCGGCGUGGUACUCCCUUGUCAGUGAUGCAGGACGGAGGGGCUGACAAGGAAAGCUGUCUAGUCGUUCGGAUGGGACGAAAAACCGAGGUCCCGUGUACACAUUGGCGUGCACGUAAAAGAUCCCUUGGCAGUUGGAAUUCGAUAUAAGAGUAGGUCGUAGUGCCGCUGUCAGGGCAAAAUUUCCCUCAUAGCACACUGUAUGGCAUAUGCCCGUCUUCAUUAGCCCAGGUUAGGAGCAGAACAGUAGGACGUUAAACUCCAUUUCAUUUCAUUUUUGUUAAAGAAUAAUCCUAUUAAUCCUAUAAUUCACUAUUGCCAGUUGAGAAAUUGGCAAAAAUAUAAUUUUCAACUUUAAAUUCAAACGUUUGAAGAUAGCUAUUCCAUGGGGGGAAUAGAAAAACAAGGGAGGUAAUUGUGUUAUUAUUUCCGGGGUCAAAGGAUUUUUAAGAUGGAGAAUAAUACCUAUAAUCGUAUAAUAGUGAGUUGACAACCUAUUGAGCAAAAGACACAGAAAUAAUUAUGUUUUGACUUUCUCAGAAAAUAUGAAAUUAUCGCUUUAAGGAAUAGAUAUGUAAUCACAUGAAAUAUAUAUAUAUAUAUGAACCUGUAAUCGCAUGAAAUAAAGAUAUAUAUGAACCUGUAAUCACAUGAAAUAUAGAUAUAUAUGAACCUGUAAUCGGAUGAAAUAUAGAUGUAUAUGAACCUGUAAUCACAUGAAAUAAAGAUAUAUAUGAACCUGUAA